RNAcentral lists this ribosomal RNA (499 nucleotides) under uncultured bacterium. Its description in RNAcentral is "partial 16S ribosomal RNA". It matches the Rfam family "Bacterial small subunit ribosomal RNA", at positions 28 to 523 of the family's 1533-position model. The record is from RNAcentral.
GAUGAACGCUAGCGGCAGGCCUAAUACAUGCAAGUCGAGCGGCAAGUCGAGGAGUAAUCUGAGACCUAGAGCGGCGUACGGGUGCGUAACGCGUAUGCAACCUACCUCCUACAGGGGGCUAGCCCGGAGAAAUCUGGAUUAAUACCCCAUAGCACAGCACAAGGGCAUCUGCGAGCUGGUAAAGAUUCAUCGGUCUGAGAUGGGCAUGCGUCUGAUUAGCUAGGUGGCGGUGUAACGGACCACCAAGGCGACGAUCAGUAGGGGUUCUGAGAGGAAGGUCCACCACACUGGCACUGAGAUAAGGGCCAGACUCCUACGGGAGGCAGCAGUAGGGAAUAUUGGGCAAUGGACGAGAGUCUGACCCAGCCAUGCCGCGUGCAGGAAGAAGGCCUUCUGGGUUGUAAACUGCUUUUAUCUGGGAAGAAAAGGCCCAUGCGUGGGACAUUGCCGGUACCAGAUGAAUAAGCACCGGCUAACUCCGUGCCAGCAGCCGCGGUAA